UAUGUAGGGUGGAACAUAGUAAUGAUGUGGUGAUAUGUAGGGUGGAACAUAGUAAUGAGGUGGUGAUAUGUAGGGUGGAACAUAGUAAUGAUGUGGUGAUAUGUAGGGUGGAACAUAGUAAUGAGGUGGUGAUAUGUAGGGUGGAACAUAGUAAUGAGGUGGUGAUAUGUAGGGUGGAACAUAGUAAUGAGGUGGUGAUAUGUAGGGUGGAACAUAGUAAUGAGGUGGUGAUAUGUAGGGUGGAACAUAGUAAUGAGGUGGUGAUAUGUAGGGUGGAACAUAGUAAUGAUGUGGUGAUAUGUAGGGUGGAACAUAGUAAUGAGGUGGUGAUAUGUAGGGUGGAACAUAGUAAUGUGGUGGUGAUAUGUAGGGUGGAACAUAGUAAUGAGGUGGUGAUAUGUAGGGUGGAACAUAGUAAUGAGGUGGUGAUAUGUAGGGUGGAACAUAGUAAUGAGGUGGUGAUAUGUAGGGUGGAACAUAGUAAUGAGGUGGUGAUAUGUAGGGUGGAACAUAGUAAUGAUGUGGUGAUAUGUAGGGUGGAACAUAGUAAUGAGGUGGUGAUAUGUAGGGUGGAACAUAGUAAUGAUGUGGUGAUAUGUAGGGUGGAACAUAGUAAUGAUGUGGUGAUAUGUAGGGUGGAACAUAGUAAUGAGGUGGUGAUAUGUAGGGUGGAACAUAGUAAUGAGGUGGUGAUAUGUAGGGUGGAACAUAGUAAUGAUGUGGUGAUAUGUAGGGUGGAACAUAGUAAUGAGGUGGUGAUAUGUAGGGUGGAACAUAGUAAUGAGGUGGUGAUAUGUAGGGUGGAACAUAGUAAUGAGGUGGUGAUAUGUAGGGUGGAACAUAGUAAU
Long non-coding RNA from Oncorhynchus keta (chum salmon), 848 nucleotides. RefSeq lists it as uncharacterized. The transcript has 3 exons. NCBI's taxonomy places the organism in Eukaryota, Metazoa, Chordata, Actinopteri, Salmoniformes, Salmonidae. The record is from RefSeq and is a predicted model, not a curated record.